This is a long non-coding RNA of Brassica napus (rape), 1944 nucleotides long. RefSeq lists it as uncharacterized. Lineage: Eukaryota; Viridiplantae; Streptophyta; Magnoliopsida; Brassicales; Brassicaceae. The transcript has 2 exons. The record is from RefSeq and is a predicted model, not a curated record.
UCAAAAACACUAAACCCUAAAUCAAAAACACUAAACCCAAAAUCUUAAAAAUACUAAACCUAAGGAUAAAUCUUAAACUCUAAAUCAAAAACACUAAACCCUAAACUCUAAAUCUUGUAUGUGUUUGAAGUCGGUCAUGAGGAUUUGAGGUUUAUAAAAAAAAUUGCAAAAAGGUUUAUAAUAAUUCACAUGAAAAUCAUUUAAUAUCCUCUUUUUGUAUUUUAUAAUUAUCUUUUAUUUCUUUUCUUGGCCAUAUUAUGUAUUUGACAAAUCAUUGUAUCUAAGUUUCUUUGAUUACACUAGACGUACACGUAUAAGUUUAUGUGCACAUGUGUCUCUGCAGAGACCCCAUAAAUAAUUGAGUGAAUUGGUUCAAAAUCCUAUAAAAAGUUAGUAAUUAACAAACUACCUAUAACACAAAUUAUGUGGGUUUUAUUGUGCAACUAGGAGAAUUGAAAUGACAAAACAGUCCUCCUAUCACUUAGAAAACAAUUUAGAGUAAGCCACUAAUAGGUUACAAGUUAAAAUGGUUUUAAAAGAAUUUGUGAGAGAGGAUUGGCAAUGAUUAACCUAAGUAUUUCCCUAUCCCGUUAAUCCAGCCAUUUUAUUUUUAAACUUAAACAAAAUUUCUCUCUUUCUUUUUCAUUAUCGUUGUUUUCUUUCUCAAUCUCCACCUUCAUUUCCUGUUUCUUUUUUUUUCAAUGAAUCUAAUCAAAAUAAAAAAAAGAUCAUGAGUUCCUAACAAUUCAUGAGUUCAUAUGUUCUUCUGCAUUUUUCUCCAUUUUCUUCCUCUACAUAAUCAUUUGAUCUCACUCAACAUUCAUCAACACAGUCCCAAAAUAAGGUUUUGAGUUCUCUCCCCCAUAGUUCAUUUCAAAGAUUUUUUGGGUCACUCUCCGAAGAUCAAGACGGUAGCGGCUCAGAACUAGUUUGCGCACAAACAGAGCAGAGAUCUCAUGUCAGCGUUCAUCACAUAUAAAAGUGUCUUCAACUUGCAAAAGGCUAUUUUGUAACAGAGCCACUCAAAGCACUUUCGGUGUCAAAGAGAGAUAGUUCCUUGCGUUCGUCAUUGUCAAGGUGAGUGUAAAAAGAGUGUUGUAGCCUUUUUGGUCGGUUGCAUAAAAGUUUAGCUUGUUUUUGGUUUGUUUUGUGGCUAAACUUUCUUGUAACCGUAUAUAAAUAUUUUAAUGAUGUAGUAUGUUUUCUGAAAACGGUUACGUAAGAGUUUAGCGAGGUGUCAUAUUAUUUUGGUUUGACAAGCUCUAUUAUAACAAUUAAUGUAAUAUAUAAACUUCAAUGAAUAAUGUAACCACCUUGUCAAAUUUGUCGGUAACAAGAAAGUUUAGCUUGUUUUGGGAAGUUUUUGUGGCUAAACUUUCUUUAACCAUAUAUGAAAAAUUUCAAGGAUGUAGUCUGUUUUCUGAAAACGGUUACAAAUGAGUUUAUCAAAAUGUCGGAUUGUUUUGGUUUGUCAAAUUCUCUUGUAACGUUAAUAUAAUAUAUAAUCUUCAGUUAUAGAAUUAAUGGAGCCACAGUUAAUCUUGUGGAUGUUAUAACCGCAGAUGAAAAAUGUAUUUUAUACAAAAAAACAUGAUUGCGAGAGAUAACCAUAGGGAAAGUGUAGUUUGUUUAAGAAAUCAACAAACAUUGUCAGCUCCAUCACCAACUGUCACACACUUUUCGAAUCUCAAAGUGCUUAUAGAGAAAACUGAACAAAUAAACAAAAAAGCUCAAAGAUUUUAUCGUUUUAGAUCUUCAAAAACAGGCCCUUGAAUUGGAGAACCUCUGUUCAUUUUCUUCUUCUUCGUCUUGAUGUUCAACCUCAAUAGACCAUCUGGACAAUCCUGCCAAGAUAAGAAAGAAGCGAAUUUUCCGAAGAAUUAGAAACAAGUAUUAAUCUAAAGAAAGAGGACAAGCAAGAACAACAAAAGAAGGUGACAAAAA